UAAAAAAAGGUAAGCUACUAAGAGCGAAUGGUGGAUGCCUUGACUGGUAAAGGCGAUGAAGGACGUACUAGACUGCGAUAAGCUACGGGGAGCUGUCAAGAAGCUUUGAUCCGUAGAUUUCCGAAUGGGGCAACCCAAUGUAUAGAGAUAUACAUUACCUAUAUAGGAGCGAACGAGGGGAAUUGAAACAUCUUAGUACCCUCAGGAAAAGAAAUCAAUAGAGAUUGCGUCAGUAGCGGCGAGCGAAAGCGCAAGAGGGCAAACCCAGUGCUUGCACUGGGGGUUGUAGGACUGCAAUGUGCAAGAGCUGAGUUUAGCAGAACAUUCUGGAAAGUAUAGCCAUAGAGGGUGAUAGUCCCGUAUGCGAAAAACAAAGCUUAGCUAGCAGUAUCCUGAGUAGGGCGGGACACGAGGAAUCCUGUCUGAAUCCGGGUCGACCACGAUCCAACCCUAAAUACUAAUACCAGAUCGAUAGUGCACAAGUACCGUGAGGGAAAGGUGAAAAGAACUGAGGUGAUCAGAGUGAAAUAGAACCUGAAACCAUUUGCUUACAAUCAUUCAGAGCACUAUGUAGCAAUACAGUGUGAUGGACUGCCUUUUGCAUAAUGAGCCUGCGAGUUGUGGUGUCUGGCAAGGUUAAGCAAACGCGAAGCCGUAGCGAAAGCGAGUCUGAAUAGGGCGCUUAGUCAGAUGCUGCAGACCCGAAACGAAGUGAUCUAUCCAUGAGCAAGUUGAAGCUAGUGUAAGAACUAGUGGAGGACUGAACCCAUAGGCGUUGAAAAGCCCCGGGAUGACUUGUGGAUAGGGGUGAAAGGCCAAUCAAACUUCGUGAUAGCUGGUUCUCUCCGAAAUAUAUUUAGGUAUAGCGUUGUGUCGUAAUAUAAGGGGGUAGAGCACUGAAUGGGCUAGGGCAUACACCAAUGUACCAAACCCUAUCAAACUCCGAAUACCUUAUAUGUAAUCACAGCAGUCAGGCGGCGAGUGAUAAAAUCCGUCGUCAAGAGGGAAACAACCCAGACUACCAGCUAAGGUCCCUAAAUCUUACUUAAGUGGAAAACGAUGUGAAGUUACUUAAACAACCAGGAGGUUGGCUUAGAAGCAGCCAUCCUUUAAAGAAAGCGUAAUAGCUCACUGGUCUAGUGAUUUUGCGCGGAAAAUAUAACGGGGCUAAAGUAAGUACCGAAGCUGUAGACUUGCACACAACUUAGAUUAUUUAAGUUUAGAAUAUGAGAAACUAAGUUAUAUGUUUAGUUAUAUUUUUACUGAUUUUUAUAGAGUAAAGAUAGAAAUAAAACUUAGUAAAAUCAGUAAAAAUAUUCUUAGGCUAAAGUUAAGUAGUUUAAGUUGUGUGCAAGUGGUAGGAGAGCGUUCUAUUUGCGUCGAAGGUAUACCGGUAAGGAGUGCUGGAGCGAAUAGAAGUGAGCAUGCAGGCAUGAGUAGCGAUAAUUAAUGUGAGAAUCAUUAACGCCGUAAACCCAAGGUUUCCUACGCGAUGCUCGUCAUCGUAGGGUUAGUCGGGUCCUAAGUCGAGUCCGAAAGGGGUAGACGAUGGCAAAUUGGUUAAUAUUCCAAUACCAACAUUAGUGUGCGAUGGAAGGACGCUUAGGGCUAAGGGGGCUAGCGGAUGGAAGUGCUAGUCUAAGGUUGUAGGAGGUUAUACAGGCAAAUCCGUAUAACAAUACUCCGAGAACUGAAAGGCUUUUUGAAGUCUUCGGAUGGAUAGAAGAACCCCUGAUGCCGUCGAGCCAAGAAAAGUUUCUAAGUUUAGCUAAUGUUGCCCGUACCGUAAACCGACACAGGUGGGUGGGAUGAGUAUUCUAAGGCGCGUGGAAGAACUCUCUUUAAGGAACUCUGCAAAAUAGCACCGUAUCUUCGGUAUAAGGUGUGCCUCCCUUUGUAUUAGAAUUCACUUCGAAAGCAAAGAAGGUUACAACAAAGAGUCCCUCCCGACUGUUUACCAAAAACACAGCACUCUGCUAACUCGUAAGAGGAUGUAUAGGGUGUGACGCCUGCCCGGUGCUCGAAGGUUAAUUGAUGGGGUUAGCAUUAGCGAAGCUCUUGAUCGAAGCCCGAGUAAACGGCGGCCGUAACUAUAACGGUCCUAAGGUAGCGAAAUUCCUUGUCGGUUAAAUACCGACCUGCAUGAAUGGCGUAACGAGAUGGGAGCUGUCUCAAAGAGGGAUCCAGUGAAAUUGUAGUGGAGGUGAAAAUUCCUCCUACCCGCGGCAAGACGGAAAGACCCCGUGGACCUUUACUACAGCUUGACACUGCUAUUUGGAUAAGAAUGUGCAGGAUAGGUGGGAGGCUUUGAGUAUAUGACGCCAGUUGUAUAUGAGCCAUUGUUGAGAUACCACUCUUUCUUAUUUGGGUAGCUAACCAGCUUGAGUUAUCCUCAAGUGGGACAAUGUCUGGUGGGUAGUUUGACUGGGGCGGUCGCCUCCCAAAUAAUAACGGAGGCUUACAAAGGUUGGCUCAUAGCGGUUGGAAAUCGCUAGUAGAGUAUAAAGGUAUAAGCCAGCUUAACUGCAAGACAUACAAGUCAAGC
This 2545-nucleotide ribosomal RNA is filed under the name Campylobacter jejuni. Its description in RNAcentral is "partial 23S ribosomal RNA". It matches the Rfam family "Bacterial large subunit ribosomal RNA", at positions 1 to 2394 of the family's 2925-position model. Lineage: Bacteria; Pseudomonadati; Campylobacterota; Epsilonproteobacteria; Campylobacterales; Campylobacteraceae. The record is from RNAcentral.